GAGAAAAUGUGAGAUAUUAUAAUCCUGUGUGCUGUUAGAGGUUUGAUUUGAUUUGCUGUUGUAAAAUUAUUAUUGUUGUUCUAUGUGCAAAAAUGAAUGUUAAUGCAAUGUCUUUGAUUUUAAUCAUCAGGUUAAGAUGAAGACAGGAUUUUUAGCAGAGCCUGGGCUGGGGUUCCUCUUUGGUACACACUGUUGCGCUGGAGUUCACUUGCAUCCUUACUGGUGAUUCUGUUCAUAGUUCAUAGGUGCACAAAAACAGCUCACAAGGAAUGUGACUUAUAAGACUAUAAAGGAGGUUAAAUUCGGGUAAAUUCCUUUAUUGACCUACUGUAUAUAAUUCUUCGGAAGUUA
Molecule: long non-coding RNA, 351 nt
Organism: Melanotaenia boesemani (Boeseman's rainbowfish)
Lineage: Eukaryota; Metazoa; Chordata; Actinopteri; Atheriniformes; Melanotaeniidae
Exons: 2
Source: RefSeq, a predicted model, not a curated record